RNAcentral lists this transfer RNA (72 nucleotides) under Montagnia macrospora. RNAcentral's name for it is "tRNA-Glu". It matches the Rfam family "tRNA". Rfam says of the family: Transfer RNA (tRNA) molecules are approximately 80 nucleotides in length. Lineage: Eukaryota; Rhodophyta; Florideophyceae; Batrachospermales; Batrachospermaceae. The record is from RNAcentral.
UGCUCUCAUCGUUUAAUGGUUAAGACAAUGUUUUUUCGUGACAUUAAUGCAAGUUCAAAUCUAGCUGAGAGU